RNAcentral lists this ribosomal RNA (505 nucleotides) under uncultured bacterium. Its description in RNAcentral is "partial 16S ribosomal RNA". It matches the Rfam family "Bacterial small subunit ribosomal RNA", at positions 28 to 507 of the family's 1533-position model. The record is from RNAcentral.
GACGAACGCUGGCGGCGUGCCUAAUACAUGCAAGUAGAACGCACAGUUUAUACCGUAGCUUGCUACACCAUAGACUGUGAGUUGCGAACGGGUGAGUAACGCGUAGGUAACCUGCCUGGUAGCGGGGGAUAACUAUUGGAAACGAUAGCUAAUACCGCAUAAUAUUAAUUAUUGCAUGAUAAUUAAUUGAAAGGUGCAAUUGCACCACUACCAGAUGGACCUGCGUUGUAUUAGCUAGUAGGUGAGGUAACGGCUCACCUAGGCGACGAUACAUAGCCGACCUGAGAGGGUGAUCGGCCACACUGGGACUGAGACACGGCCCAGACUCCUACGGGAGGCAGCAGUAGGGAAUCUUCGGCAAUGGACGAAAGUCUGACCGAGCAACGCCGCGUGAGUGAAGAAGGUUUUCGGAUCGUAAAGCUCGGUUGUAAGAGAAGAACGGGUGUGAGAGUGGAAAGUUCACACUGUGACGGUAGCUUACCAGAAAGAGACGGCUAACUACGUG